ACCCGGUUGGACAUUUUUAUUGGUAAUAAAAGGAAAGUAGAGAAGUGCUUGACCCAUGAACGAGAUGGAUUUGGAAGAUGGAUUUGAAGCUAAGAAUGCCUGAUGUUCAGCACUGCUCUGUACAGAUUCUUUCCAAGGGCCUGAGAGGAACCCCACUUAUUCUGCUUUCAUUACCUUUUAACUUUUUAUUUAAAAUACUCCCCAAAACUACAUACUCACCAGGACCCACAAUACCUGAUUGUGAACCUAAAAAUGGAUUAUGGAUUCGUGAGGCUACAUGAUCUAUCAGCACACUUAUGUGGACCAAAGCUUUCUAGGGGAUUUAAGUAAGAUGUUAGAACUGUCUUCUACAUCACAAACACAGAAAGGUAUGAUAAAAUUAAAGCAUCACCAGCCUACCAGUCGGUCCACCACCACUGCCACAAGUGAGCACUUAAUGUUAGCUCACUGUCGUUCAUCACGUCAAAUCAGUAUUGUUCAUCUGAGUGCGGCAUUUGUCAUUUUGUUGGAAUUCAGUGUGCAAAUUUGUUUUGGAUUUUCAGUUGUAGAUGCACUAUAAGCUGAAGGGAUGUACGUCUACUUUUGAAUUUGUAUAUACUGACGGAACAUUACAAUAUGAAAUAAUUUCAAUAUGGUACAAGGCAAAUAUAAAAAAUGGGGCAGGGAGGGAGAAAGGAAAGAAUUAAGGAAGUUGGGAAGGAAGCAAAGGGAACUUAGUCUGGAACCCCAAAGAAAACAACUCUAUAGCCUAAGGGUUCGGAUUCCUAAAUCACAAACAUCACCUCAUGGAUUGCUUGGGUGUCACACAAUGAGACCCAGACCUGCCUUAAGUAAUGUUCUCAUUUAUUCAACAAAAUUUCUGGCCCCAUUAAGGCCCUAUGCUUAAGUCUGAUAGAUGGUUUAUUAUUUACUACAGCUACCAAGGAGGGGAGAGACGAGAAUGGAACAUUCUCCAGGUAAAAAUGCACAAAUCUAGGUAGAAAUAAUCUCACCUACAUAACGAUCACAAAUACUUGUUUACAGCCUUUUAGGCAACAUGAGAAGACUAGUAAGGUGCUCAAGAUGACACUUUCCUUUAAGAUUAAAAUAUCUGUGGGAGCUUUUGGUCCAUUAAGGCCCGAAUACGUUUCAUCCACCACGUUCCAAGUGGCAUGCUCCUGAAACUAAUUCCCUCUGCAGUUUAACUCCAGAGCUUCUCAGGGGAAACCAACUAAUUUUUAAUAUUGGAUUAAGCAAAAUACAAUUAGGAAGGCAAAUUUCUAAGAGGGAGAAAUCAUGCAGAAUAUUCCCAAGCCAAUUUGUAUGAUUUUGCAACAUUCAUUGUUUGAGUUCUCCUCUCCAUCCCUCCUUUCACAGGUAAUCAUGAAUUGCCUGUAAUUAAAAAAUCUCAGGUAACUGGCAGCAGGAACAUUCCUUGAGAAUUGUUUCCUAGGUCUCAGUAAUAAGCCUAGAUUUUUAUAUUUGCCACUAUUUUGAUGCUAGAUAUUCCUUCUCCUCUUUGUCUACUUCGAACUUGAGCAUUCUAAGGACUCUCUCCCUUUGAUCUGGAAAGGAAGAGAUACUCUGUUUUAUAUCUACAGCCACAUCUGAGUCCAACAGCUGAUUGUUGCAUCCUUGACCACAUUAUCUUUAUCCCUCCAGGAAUGGGCCUCAAAAUGAAAGAAGUUUGACUGUUAGUGAUUCGUAAGAUAUUAGAGCUCAGCAGGCCCUGAGAGCUGAGCUUGUCCAAAGACAUAUAAUAAGACUGAAAGUAUUCCUUUGUCUGCUUGGAGGGAAACCCCGAUAGGCCCUCUAGAUAUGAAUGUUUAUUUCUAAAUUUGAUUUUUUCCAAACACUUGUUGAAAGAGAUUCAACAAGACCUUACACUAACGGCUACAUUGUCCAAGGAAAUAUCCUUCCAUCUAUAGAUUGGUAGUUGGUUUUUCAUUAGGACGAAGGUUAAUUAAAAUCUUAAAAGAUUUCCACCUAUCUCAAUAUGAGGAAAGGCACAUGAAAAGGGAAAAUUAUCUUGCACUAAAAUCUCGGGGAAUUUUACACACCACUCUUAGAAUAUGAAUUUUAUGUUUGGAUGAGAUCAUAUAAUAUACCUUCGGAUAAAUCCACAGUUUCUAUUUGGAAUCAUAGUUUGUGAUCUAUUUGGUUUAUCCAUGGUUUAAAUUCAAAGAUGCCAAAUUGAGCAUGCCUCAGGUUUGCUACACAGCAUGAGGGGAAAAAAUGACCACUAAGAGCCAUGUGGUUCCACCCUGCUAUUUUCUUUUUUUUUUCUAACAUACGUCUAUCUUGCUGACCUCUGCUCCAUACCCAUGAUCUCUUAUCUAGGCCAUGAGCAGAGGACACAUUCUCCAGGGAUCAUAAUAAAUAAAAGAAGGUAAAGGGGAUUUUUUUUAAAAAAGAGGAGUACAAAUUACAGUUCCAGGAAAACUGGAAAGCAAAAUGUAAAUGAGAGUCCCUCAUUAUUUCUUUUUAAGGAUACUGGCACACUUAAAAUGUGGAUUUAAAUGUAGGUUCAGUAUAUACACAUUUCUGUGUGUGCAUAUCGGGCCUGUGUGUGCUCCAUGCCUUUCUCCAGGAAGGCCAAAGUGCCCUCACACACCGAUUUCAGAUCACAUAGUGUCAGUGCAGCUGGGACCAGUGUGGGAGGCAGGCUACAGAAGUGACUAGAGCAGAGUUGGAAAGAAAACUAGAUUCUAAUCCAGUUCAGGCACCUAUCAGGUAGGUAAUCUUGGGCAAAAAUGUCUCUGUAUCGGCUUCUCAGGCUGCAGCUGUCAACAUCCAAUGGCACACCGGAAGUAAAGCGCCAUGCUAGGUGUAUAGCAGAUAGUCAGUAAAUGGCAGAGAGUUUGUGACCAUCACUCAAUGGAUGCCUGAGCAUGAGUGAUCAGCUGGCUUAGUGUCAUUCCAUUCCAUCUGCUGCGCAACAUCAAAUAAACGUGUGCACUGUGUAACAGGUGGCCACCAGUGGAUGCUUUAUCUGCAUGACACUGUGCAACUCUUUGCAAAGUUCUUGCCCUGGGUAGACUCUUUUCUGAGGCCUAUUUUAUCUCCCCAGCUCCCUGCCCUACUCCUACACAACACCUUGCACACACACACACACACACACACACACACACUGUUUACCAUUUAAUUGACUAGCUGUUUUAGCUUCCUGGACAGACAGCAACAGAGCUAAAAAUAGCUGGGUCCUCCCAAACCAGCAACCCUUUAAAGGAGCUAAAUUGCCCUGCUUUUAAUUCUCCACCAAAAUCUGAUCUCAGGCUUUAUAAAAGAGAAGCGCUAAGGGCCCUUCUACGAUAGAGUGUUCCGCAAUUGACAUGCUGUCCAUUGCUUGAAAGGUUUUGUACACUGGUACUUAAUCCUUGUUUCAGUUACAACCCCUGUAGGGAAAUCUGACUCCUGUACAUGAGUUCUUCAUUUAUUUCUGAGCCAAGAUAAUUCUAGGAUUACCACUUAGAAAAUUGGGAGAACAGACUUGGGCACAGUUUCCACCCAGACAGCAUUGAAAAGAGGGGCAUGUAGACUACCUUUUCGGUGACAAGGUUAGAGACAGGUAUUGUGGUUAAAUCCCAUUAGCAAGAACAUUACACUCAUUAAGUAAAUGCUAGAGUGGGAACUGAGAAGUCUUCUUCCCCCAUCCCACCCCCAGUGUCCUCUCCUUCUCCUGAUGGCAUGUCCCUUCCAUGCAGGGGACUCCUUGCCCAGGAAUGCCUGUCUGCAGUAAAUCACAGUGUACUCCCAUGCCAAGUGGCUCCAAAGCCAGAAACACACUGUAAAGAACACAUGCCAUUCUGCAAAACUCUACCAGCAUGCACCAUUCCUAAAUUGUCUCUCUCUUAUUUCUUGGGUGACCUUUAGGUUUCAGAAAGUAUUCCUUUGUGUUAAAGCAAACACAAACUGUUCUGCAAGCAUCAUUCAAGAAUUUAAAGAUUCUAUUAAUCUGAUGUCUUAAUUGUUAUUGAGAAGAGGAAACAGGAGUGUCUUUGUUUCCCGAAUGACCACAUGCUUCUCAAAAGUGGCCCACAGUGUUGGAGUUUGCAUCUCAAGUUGCAGGCAGCUCUGAGUUCAGUGGCACUUCGGUGGAACUAAUUUCCACACAGAAUGAGGGGCAGCACAAACUAAAGCUGAGCAAAUUCAAAGUGCAUCACAUGGAUCCAAAAUGAAGGCGUUGUUCUCCCAUUCUGAAAAGUAGUUUAAAAUAAGGACUAAACAACGUAUGUCUCCUCACUGAAGGAGCUAAGCGGGCUACUCACACAGACACACGCCCCACAGUGAGGAGCAUCAACCUGGACUCAAAAGAGAAAGAAACAUCCCGGCAGCCCUGAGGAAAAAACAAACAUGAAUGUAAUUUAAUGAAAGUACUCUAUGUGCCUACUAUGUGUAAGACAUUGAGGGUCCAGGCACAAAAAAAGGAAGUUUAGCUCCCAUCUCCCGACCAGGUACCUGCUGGUAGGAAUCCCAUAAAUUCCCUGAAAAGGGAAGAACAUCCAGCUUAGCUGAAAAAGACAUACAGAACCCAAAUACUGUAGCUCCAUGGGCGGGGCAGCAUUUGAAAUGUGCCUUAAAAGCCCAGUAAAAAUUCACUUUUAAAAGAUGAGUGAAGCCGGAUACACUCUAGGAGGCUGAGGCAGGACAAUCACAAUCAGGAGAUCAACCCAGGAAAAUCUGCAGUUUAGCGACACCUUGACUCAGGAAAGAAGGGAAAAGACGGGGUGUGUAGCUCAGUGCAAAGACCCCAAGUGCAAUCCCCAAUACUGCUGAAUAAACAAGAGUAAGCAUUACGGUUGAAGAAAUGAAGAUAAACUAAGCUAUGAGGCAGAGACCAAAAUGAAUAAAUAAUACAGGUGCUGCUGCAUUUCUACUGAGGCUAAAACCCAUCAUAAAUAGAAAAAAUCAAAAAUGUAUUUACUAUUCUUCACCUACUGGACAUCACAGCUGUGCCUGGCCUGCCUUCCUUACAUACAGUUAAGCAGCACCACCCAACUCAAAGCCCAUUUUAUAAUUAAGCAUUGACUAUCUCAGUUAACUUUCUGAAUGACAAUAUCCAAAACACACUGCCCGCACGGUGCCACCUACAGUUUCUGCGUUUCUCCUGCUGAAAUGACUCACUGCUGCUGUCCAGACUGGGAAGAAGCAUCACCACCUAUCACCAGCCCAGAACAGACUGAAUUCAAACUUCAGAGCCUGCUUCCCAGCCUACCCUGUGGCUUUCUUCCCAUCACAAAGUUGGAUUUCAACAACUGUGAAUCUCAGGAUUGAAACUCUGGGAACUCAAUGGAAGAGAAUGCUGAUGGUUAAAAUAAGAAGUCUAUUUGUUAGGUUGGCCCAUGAAACACAGGAAUUCCUUCAACAAAAUUCUCACACAUGCUGCUAUAGUUUGGAAGCUGAAGUGUCCCUGGAGGUCCACAUGUGGAAGGCUGGGCCACCAACUUGGGGUACUACUGUGGAAUGGUGGAGCCUUUGAGGUGUGGAGCUUCACGGAAGGAAGUUAGGCCAUUGGGGGUGUGGCCUUGAAGGAGAUAUUGGAUCCUAGCCCCUUCCUCUUUCUCUCUUUUCUUCUAGGUCCCCAUGAAGCCAUCCUCCACAGUGUCCUCCCACCAUUACAUUGGGCCUUAUCACAGGUCCAAAGCAAUAGAACCUCUUGACCAUGCACAGAAACUUAUGAAGCCCCAAGGAAUGACAGAAAUCUCUCCUCCUUACAAGAUGAUUUUCUAGAAAGCUAACACCUAUGCUUAUCUAGCUUCCCAGUGAUAACAAUAAUGAUAUUGAUGCAGUACUUCUUUCAUACCUACCAUGUGCUGGACACUGUAUGAAGUACACUGAGCACUGAUGGUGAAUCCAUUGUGUUCUUAGAAGUUUAUGUAUACUAGCUUAUGGAGUGCCCGAGGAGCUACCCUAGGAAGUAGGUCCUAUUGCUACUGUUAUUCCAUGGAUGAAUCAGUGGAAACAGAAAGGAGUUGAAUAACUUGCUCUGGGUCAAAGAGUUAGAAAAAGAGGACCUGAAAAACUGAGUUACACAGACCUGCCCCAGAGCCUGCCCUUUAAUCUUGUGCCACCACUAGGGGUAAGAGAAACAGAGAGAGUGAGGAGCUAAAAUCCACUUGAACACAGCUCCAAUUAAUAGAUAAAUCUUCAGUUUUCUGAGCAAAAGCUGCCUCCCUGAGUCUUCAUGUUGCCUUCAAGAGAACAAUAAUAAUUUCUUCUUUAGUUUGAUAGUCCUUAUAUCAGAAACUGGCAAACUAUGGUUUUGGGGCCAAAUCUGGCCCACCAUCUGUUUCUGGGUAAGCAGUGAGCUAAGAAUGGAUAUCACACUUUCAAAUGGUUACAAAAAAAAAAUCCAAAAGCAGAGACUAUUUUGUGACACACAAAAAUCACAUGAAAUUCAAAUCCCAGUGUUCAUAAAUGAAGUUUUAUUGGAACACAGUGAUACUUCCUUUACAUAUAUUCCGUGGCCUCUUUCACUCCACUUCAAGGUCAGAAUUAGGUAGUUGCAACAAAGACCAUACGGCCCAGGAAGGGCUAACGUAUCUCUUGCCCACUCCAGAAAAUAUUUGCUGACCUCUGCUUUAAAUAGCUGGGGUGGGUUCCCUUGUCCUUUCUUAGAUUUGCUUUUUUAUGGUAAAAAUAUCUCAAGUCCUCCCUUAUGUUAUCAGCUCAUCACAUAUUCUAUCCCUCAUAACAGUAGUAUUCAGCGGUAAAUUCAUACCGUGAAAUAUUGCUCACCAAUGAAAAGGAACAAACUAUGACAGAGACGUAAAAACCAGAAUGAAUCUCCAAACCAUUAUGCUGAGAGAAAAAGCCUUACACAAAUUGUUCUUACUGGCUGCUUAUAUGAAUAUGAAAUUCUAAAACAGAUGAGUCUAUGGUGAAAAGUAUUAGAACAAUGCUUUUCUUUGGGAAAAAGGAACAGGAAUUGGCUGGGAUAAGCACAAAGGAAUCCACUUGAUAAUACAAACAUUCCAGAUCUUAAUGGCUGUUUGAGUUAUAGAGUUGUAUAUAUUUGCCAAAAUUUACACAUAUAGUUUGUAUGUUAUACUAUAUCUGCCUCAAAAGACUGUAAAUAAAUAUUGUACUAUAGUUAAUGAUCUGCAGACUGAAAUGUUUAAGUAUAUCAACACCUAAAACUUGAAGUGCAGCAGAAAAUGAAGAUUCUUGGAUGAUUGGAUAGAGAAAUGGACAGAUGGCAAGGCAUGUGAUACAGGAAGCAGAGAAAAUGUUCACUGUGAAAAGUAGGCAGUGGGUAUGUGAAUGUCCACUGACUAAUUCUUACAAGUCCUGUGCUUCAAACUGGUCAUAAUAAAAUACAUUUCUCACAAUACAUCCUCUAUGUUCACUAUCUUGAAGACAGAUGGUAAUGUGUUCACAGAUAUAUCCCAUCUCAAAACUUAUCCGAUUGUAUACUGUAAAUAUGUGCAGUUUAUGUCAAUGAUGGCUCAGUGAAAUUCUUUUUAAAAAGUGGACUCAUAAUGUAUUGUACUAUUAUUUAAAAAAUUUUAAAAAGUCUUCAGAGUAAAGUAGGGAAGAACAAUGUGAAAUGAACUACUCUAAAUACUACACACAGUGACAUCACUCUUUCCUUUACCUUGGCCAUUUUCAUGUUAGCUUUUAUUUUCCUGUAAUGUAACUGAGUAAAUUCUGAAGUGUCCUACCUUGCACUCACCAAAGGACACAUCUUGGGUACAACCUUGAGGACUAGUAAUAGGAGUACAUUCUAUGAUGGAAUCUGACUCCAUGGCAAGAGACCCACUUUUUCUUCUCUGUUUCAGUUUUAUUACAGAAAGAUACAUAAAAGAAAAGGCAUGGAGACAUCCCCAGUGAAAUGCUCCCACUAAAUUCCCUGUGGAAAACAGUAUAAGUUCCACAAGUGAGCUUACACUUUUGUCUCAUGACUGUGUAGAAAGAAGAGGAAUCUUUUGAUCACAGAUGAAUUCCUGGCCUUCUUAACCUCAGCAGUGGUUGUCACGUAUGUCUCAUACUAAGGUUCACUAUCAUUUGACACACACCAUGCGCACCACUGUUACAAAUGUGAUUAAGCGUUUCUUUAAGGGGCC
Long non-coding RNA from Heterocephalus glaber (naked mole-rat), 8045 nucleotides. The record is from Ensembl. Lineage: Eukaryota; Metazoa; Chordata; Mammalia; Rodentia; Bathyergidae.